RNAcentral lists this non-coding RNA (24 nucleotides) under Cricetulus griseus (Chinese hamster). Lineage: Eukaryota; Metazoa; Chordata; Mammalia; Rodentia; Cricetidae. The record is from RNAcentral.
CAAUGAGACUGGCGACGAGCCCUU